UCGGGAAUUUUGGGCAAUGGGCGAAAGCCUGACCCAGCAACGCCGCGUGAAGGAUGAAGUAUUUCGGUAUGUAAACUUCGAAAGAAUAGGAAGAAUAAAUGACGGUACUAUUUAUAAGGUCCGGCUAACUACGUGCCAGCAGCCGCGGUAAUACGUAGGGACCAAGCGUUGUUCGGAUUUACUGGGCGUAAAGGGCGCGUAGGCGGCAAUUCAAGUCAUCUGUGAAAUCUCCGGGCUUAACCUGGGAACUGCGUCUGAUACUGGAGGGCUUGAGUAUGGGAGAGGGAUGUAGAAUUCCAGGUGUAGCGGUGAAAUGCGUAGAUAUCUGGAGGAAUACCGGUGGCGAAGGCGGCAUCCUGGACCAUUACUGACGCUGAGGCGCGAAAGCUAGGGGAGCAAACGGGAUUAGAUACCCAAGUAGUCCCUGAGCGGGCUGGCAAGGCGCAU
This 447-nucleotide ribosomal RNA is filed under the name uncultured bacterium. RNAcentral's name for it is "bacterial SSU rRNA". It matches the Rfam family "Bacterial small subunit ribosomal RNA", at positions 355 to 825 of the family's 1533-position model. The record is from RNAcentral.